AUAUCCGAAAUCAUGACAAAUUACAUUAAAGGUGAACUGUCGAUUUUAUAACGAAAAUUGCAUUUUUAUAAAUAUGUAUAUUCUAAAACAAGUGGAAUCAUCAAGAGCUAUGGCAAAAAAUAUUGCGAUACUAAAAAACGAUGUUUUUGUUUUCCGUAAACCGCCCGGGUAUUUCCGCCACCUAUUUUGGUUGUGACGUCACCGGCACUCAACGCGCAUGACUCGGAUACACGUCCAUUGUUAUUACGAAUCGAAGCGUGAACACUUCGCGCUAAAUGUCAAAUUUGACACUCAAUAGAUCUAUCACGUUAGCAAAAUACAAUUCUUUUACACAAGUUUUAUUGAAAUCGUGUGCUUUCUCUGUAUUUUUUGCAUGACAAUCGUUAUUCGAUAUGGUUCAGUGUGUUGCUUUCGGGUGCAAAGAACGUGAGGAAAAUGGAAAGAAUGUUUUUUUCCGUUUUGCGAAGGAUGAUGUUACUUGUAAGAAAUGGAUAAAGGCUGUCAAUUCCAGGAGAGUAAUCGAUGGGAGACUGGUUGAUUUCAAACCGAGUAAGGCAUCUAGAUUGUGCUUGAAACAUUUUGACGACAGUUGUUUUUUUUCAUCCUCCAAGUGUUAUGGCUAGUGUUGGAAUGGAGUUAAAGGGGCCUUUUCACAGAUUUUGGCAUUUUUUAACUUAUUCAUUAAAUGCUUUAUAUCGAUAAAUGUAAACAUUGGAUCGUAAAAGCUCCAGUAUAAAAUCAAGAAUAAAAUUUAAAAAAGGAAAAGAACAUUGCCCGGACCAGGUUUCGAACCAGUGACCCCUAGAGUCCUGCCGGAGUCCUGAAGUAAAAACACUUCAGCCUACUGAGCUAUUCCGCCAAGUACACAUGCAUGACGUAUUUUAUACCUUAUAUAAGCAAUCUUCGUAGUUUCACAAAAUUUAACGACAAAAACAGAACUCUCCAAAUUAUUCAAUCGUUUCGCGUUGCAACGCUUUAUAAUUUUUAGGUUUUAAAAUCGUCAAAAGAUGCAUAUAAUGGCUAUAUUAGACCAUGGUAAAUGUUCAGUAUUACUGUUUCCUCACAAAUAUCAUAACUAAAACGAAAAUUUGCGAAUCUGAAACAACUUUUUUCAAUUUUGUCAAUUUACCAAAGCGUGAAAAGAUCCCUUUAAAGCUCAAGCUCAAAGCUGGUGCAAUUCCAACGAUAUUUCCGGAAACAGAGGCAUACAAAGCUUCAAAGAAAGCUCCUCUAAAUCCCAACGACCUUGGACCAGGGAAGCACAACCGAGCGAAGUAUGGCGCCUAUUCUGAAAGGAACCGGACCCAUAUUCAUCAUGUGUGGAAGAGCCAGAUGUCUGUGAAGAAAUGUCUUGUGAACAGUCGCCUGUUCGGAUCAGUGAUCCUGAAUCACAUUUUGAUAAUGUGUAUUCGCAGUCAUCACAGACAUCUGAGACGGUUGUAUUUCGACCAACAGAACAUAAGGGAUUCACUGUCAAACCACAGGGAAAGAACUCUCCUAUCCUAAGUACAAGGCUGGACACCAUGUGGUUAAAGCAGUUAAAGAGAAUUGCACUUAUGACUAUGUUGAUGAACUAAUGGCAGAGCUGCUUAGGAUGAAAGAGGAGUACAAGAGCGAUGCCAAUGCAAGGGCUGCCUCUGGCAACAUUCUGUUUUCACCGCCACCCGUCUUCAUCUGCAAACAG
Long non-coding RNA from Dreissena polymorpha, 1684 nucleotides. RefSeq lists it as uncharacterized. NCBI's taxonomy places the organism in Eukaryota, Metazoa, Mollusca, Bivalvia, Myida, Dreissenidae. The record is from RefSeq and is a predicted model, not a curated record. The transcript has 4 exons.